Molecule: ribosomal RNA, 301 nt
Filed under: uncultured bacterium
Lineage: Bacteria
Description: partial 16S ribosomal RNA
Rfam family: Bacterial small subunit ribosomal RNA
Source: RNAcentral
CAGCAGCCGCGGUAAUACGAAGGGGGCUAGCGUUGUUCGGAUUUACUGGGCGUAAAGCGCACGUAGGCGGAUCGAUCAGUCAGGGGUGAAAUCCCAGAGCUCAACUCUGGAACUGCCUUUGAUACUGUCGAUCUGGAGUAUGGAAGAGGUGAGUGGAAUUCCGAGUGUAGAGGUGAAAUUCGUAGAUAUUCGGAGGAACACCAGUGGCGAAGGCGGCUCACUGGUCCAUUACUGACGCUGAGGUGCGAAAGCGUGGGGAGCAAACAGGAUUAGAUACCCGGGUAGUCCCUGUCUCUUAUAC